This 291-nucleotide ribosomal RNA is filed under the name uncultured microorganism. RNAcentral's name for it is "partial 16S ribosomal RNA". It matches the Rfam family "Bacterial small subunit ribosomal RNA", at positions 505 to 796 of the family's 1533-position model. The record is from RNAcentral.
GUGCCCGCAACCGCGGUAAUACGACGGGGGCUAGUGUUUUUCGGAAUCACUGUGCGUACAGGGUCCGUAGGCGGCUUUGUAGUCGGGGGUGAAAGCCUGUGGCUCUACCACAGAAUUGCCUUCGAUACUGCAUGGCUUGAGACCGGAAGAGGUUAGUGGAACUGCGAGUGUAGAGGUGAAAUUCGUAGAUAUUCGCAAGAACACCAGUGGCGAAGGCGGCUGACUGGUCCGGAUCUGACGCUGAGGCGCGAAAGCGUGGGGAGCAAACAGGAUUAGAUACCCUGGUAGUCC